Molecule: ribosomal RNA, 830 nt
Filed under: Staphylococcus aureus
Lineage: Bacteria; Bacillati; Bacillota; Bacilli; Caryophanales; Staphylococcaceae
Description: bacterial SSU rRNA
Rfam family: Bacterial small subunit ribosomal RNA
Source: RNAcentral
UUUAUGGAGAGUUUGAUCCUGGCUCAGGAUGAACGCUGGCGGCGUGCCUAAUACAUGCAAGUCGAGCGAACGGACGAGAAGCUUGCUUCUCUGAUGUUAGCGGCGGACGGGUGAGUAACACGUGGAUAACCUACCUAUAAGACUGGGAUAACUUCGGGAAACCGGAGCUAAUACCGGAUAAUAUUUUGAACCGCAUGGUUCAAAAGUGAAAGACGGUCUUGCUGUCACUUAUAGAUGGAUCCGCGCUGCAUUAGCUAGUUGGUAAGGUAACGGCUUACCAAGGCAACGAUGCAUAGCCGACCUGAGAGGGUGAUCGGCCACACUGGAACUGAGACACGGUCCAGACUCCUACGGGAGGCAGCAGUAGGGAAUCUUCCGCAAUGGGCGAAAGCCUGACGGAGCAACGCCGCGUGAGUGAUGAAGGUCUUCGGAUCGUAAAACUCUGUUAUUAGGGAAGAACAUAUGUGUAAGUAACUGUGCACAUCUUGACGGUACCUAAUCAGAAAGCCACGGCUAACUACGUGCCAGCAGCCGCGGUAAUACGUAGGUGGCAAGCGUUAUCCGGAAUUAUUGGGCGUAAAGCGCGCGUAGGCGGUUUUUUAAGUCUGAUGUGAAAGCCCACGGCUCAACCGUGGAGGGUCAUUGGAAACUGGAAAACUUGAGUGCAGAAGAGGAAAGUGGAAUUCCAUGUGUAGCGGUGAAAUGCGCAGAGAUAUGGAGGAACACCAGUGGCGAAGGCGACUUUCUGGUCUGUAACUGACGCUGAUGUGCGAAAGCGUGGGGAUCAAACAGGAUUAGAUACCCUGGUAGUCCACGCCGUAAACGAUGAG